ACCGUGCAUUUGUGUGUGUGCAUGCAUGUGUACUGUGCAUCCGAGUGUGUGCAUGUGUGUGUACCGUGCAUCUGUGUGCGUGCAUUCAUGUGUACCCUGCAUCUAUGUGUGCUGUGUGCAUUCAUGUGUACUGUGCCUGUGUGUGUGCAUUUGUGUGUACCAUGCAUCUCUGCUGUGUGUGCAUUCGUGUGUACUGUGCAUCUGUGUGUACUGUGUGUGCAUUCAUGUGUACUGUGCAUCUGUGUGUGCUGUGUGUGCAUUCGUGUGUACCCUGCAUCUGUGUGUGUGCUGUGUGUGCAUUCGUGUGUACCGUGCAUCUGUGUGUGCUGUGUGCAUUCAUGUGUGUCCUGCAUGUAUGUGCUGUGUGUGCAUUCGUGUGUACUGUGCAUCUGUGUGUGCUGUGUGUGCAUUCAUGUGUACCCUGCAUGUAUGUGCUGUGUGUGCAUUCGUGUGUACUGUGCAUCUGUGUGUGUGCUGUGUGUGCAUUCAUGUGUACCCUGCAUGUGUGUAUGUGCUGUGUGUGCAUUCGUGUGUACUGUGCAUCUGUGUGUGUGCUGUGUGCAUUCCUGUGUACCAUGCAUCUGUGUGUGCUGUGUGUGCAUUCCUGUGUACUGUGCAUUUGUGCUGUGUGUGCAUUCAUGUGUACCGUGCAUCUGUGUGUGCUGUGUGUGCAUUCGUGUGUACCCUGCAUGUGUGUAUGUGCUGUGUGUGCAUUCGUGUGUACUGUGCAUCUGUGUGUGUGCUGUGUGGUAUUCAUGUGUACUGUGCAUCUGUGUGUGCUGUGUAUAUUCAUGUGUACCCUGCAUCUGUGUGUGUGCUGUCUGUGCAUUCGUGUGUACUGUGCAUCUGUGUGUGCUGUGUGUAUUCAUGUGUACCCUGCACCUAUGUGUGUGCUGUCUGUGCAUUCGUGUGUACUGUGCAUCUGUGUGUGCUGUGUGUGCAUUCAUGUGUACCCUGCAUCUGUGUGUGUGCAUUUGUGUGUACUGUGCGCCUGUGUGUGUGCUGUAUGCAUUCGUGUGUACCGUGCAGCUGUGUGGGUGCAUUCAUGUGUACCCUGCAUAUGUGUGGCGUUUGAUGCCUCAGUGGUGGGUUCCUUGUGCAUGUUCAUGUGUGCGUGUGCUGUGCCCAAGUGUGCACGCAUGGCCCAGAGCGGCAUCCGAGUGGAUAGCAGGAAUCUGUUCAGAGAGCCCCUCCCCGUCAUGUCAUUGGUCUGCUUUACCGAUGGCCUGGCCUGCCACGGUGCUGGCGCCCGCCUGGCUGCACUUCCCAGCUCUGGGGUCAGUGUUGCCCCGAGGCUGCUGGCCAGUGCCAGUGCCCUGACGCCCUCCCUCUCCUGCAGGGAAGCCGGAGCUUCCCCGGCAGCCUGGCUCCACGGCUCAGUAUGAUGCUGGGGCAGGGUCCCCGGAAGCCGAACCCACAGACUCUGACUCACCGCCAAGCAGCAGCGCGGACGCCAGUCGCUUCCUGCACACGCUGGACUGGCAGGAAGAGAAGGAGGCAGAGACUGGUGCAGAAAAUGCCUCUCCCAAGGAGAGCGAGUCUGCCCUGAUGGAGGACAGAGACGAGAGUGAGGUGUCAGAUGAUGGGGGGUCCCCGAUCUCCAGCGAGGGCCAGGAACCCAGGGCCGACCCAGAGCCCCCUGGCCUGGCAGCAGGGCCGGUGCAGCAGGACUUGGUUUUUGAGGUGGAGACACCGGCUGUGCUGCCGGAGCCUGUGCCACAGGAAGACGGGGUCGACCUCCUGGGCCUGCACUCCGAGGUGGGCGCAGGGCCAGCUGUACCCCCGCAGGCCUGCAAGGCCCCCUCCAGCAACACCGACCUGCUCAGCUGCCUCCUUGGGCCCCCUGAGGCCGCCUCCCAGGGGCCCCCGGAGGAUCUGCUCAGCGAGGACCCGCUGCUCCUGGCAAGCCCGGCCCCUCCCCUGAGCGUGCAGAGCACCCCAAGAGGAGGGCCCCCUGCCGCUGCUGACCCCUUUGGCCCGCUUCUGCCGUCUUCAGGCAACAACUCCCAGCCCUGCUCCAAUCCUGAUCUCUUCGGCGAAUUUCUCAAUUCGGACUCUGUGACCGUCCCACCAUCCUUCCCGUCUGCCCACAGCGCUCCGCCCCCAUCCUGCAGCGCCGACUUCCUGCACCUGGGGGAUCUGCCAGGAGAGCCCAGCAAGAUGACAGCCUCGUCUAGCAACCCAGACCUGCUGGGAGGAUGGGCUGCCUGGACCGAGACUGCAGCGUCGGCAGUGGCCCCCACGCCAGCCACAGAAGGCUCACCAGCUGGAUUCCCUCCUGGGGGCUUCAUUCCCAAAACGGCCACCACGCCCAAAGGCAGCAGCUCCUGGCAGACAAGUCGGCCGCCAGCCCAGGGCGCCUCAUGGCCCCCUCAGGCCAAGCCGCCCCCCAAAGCCUGCACACAGCCAAGGCCUAACUAUGCCUCGAACUUCAGUGUGAUCGGGGCGCGAGAGGAGCGGGGUGUCCGCGCACCCAGCUUUGGUGAGUCCCCCACUCUCUGUUGCUGUGGAGUUUGCAGAGACCUCCCUGAAUUGGCUAAAGGUAGAACCUAUGUUGUUUUCUUCAUCUCAGAGCCCAGUCCUGGGACAGGCACGGCCAAGCCACUCAGAGAACGACGCGGUUUCCGACGUGUGUCCACUGGUCUCUCUCUGGGUCAGGCCUCUGGGUCCCUCUUGUUCCAGUGACACCUUCUUGACCUGUUUUUAACAAAUGGCCUUUGCAACCCUGUCUUGUCUUCCCUCUUCUUUACUCUGGAGGCAUCAGGAUGGUAGCCCUGUUCCCGGGAGCAGCAGGUGGAAUUGGGCCUGUGUGUCUCUGCAGAAAGUUUCUGUUCUUAACUGGGCUUUGUGGCUCACGCCUGUAAUCCCAGCACUUUGGGAGGCUGAGGCGGACAGAUCGCUGGAGCCCAGGAGUUCAAGACCAGCCUGGGCAACAGUGAUACCUCCUCUCUACAAAAAAUGUAAAAAUUAGCCAGGCAUGGUGGCGCAUGCCUGUGGUCCCAGCUACUUGGGAGGCUGAGGCAAGAGGAUUGCUUGAGGCCGGGAGGCAAAGGCCGCAGAGAGCUGAGAUCACGCCAUUGCACUCUGGCCUGGGUGACAGAGUGGAGACCCUGUCUCAAACAAAAAAAAGUUUCUGUUCUUUUCUAGCUCAAAAGCCAAAAGUCUCUGAGAACGACUUUGAAGAUCUGUUGUCCAAUCAAGGCUUCUCCUCCAGGUCUGACAAGAAAGGGCCAAAGACCAUUGCAGAGAUGAGGAAGCAGGACCUGGCUAAAGACACGGACCCACUCAAGCUGAAGCUCCUGGACUGGAUUGACGGCAAGGAGCGGAACAUCCGGGCCCUGCUGUCCACGCUGCACACAGUGCUGUGGGACGGGGAGAGCCGCUGGACGCCCGUGGGCAUGGCCGACCUGGUGGCUCCGGAGCAGGUGAAGAAGCACUAUCGCCGCGCGGUGCUGGCCGUGCACCCCGACAAGGCCGCAGGGCAGCCAUACGAGCAGCACGCCAAGAUGAUCUUCAUGGAGCUGAAUGACGCCUGGUCGGAGUUUGAGAACCAGGGCUCCCGGCCCCUCUUCUGAGGCCGCAGUGGUGGUGGCUGCGCACACAGCUCCACAGGUUGGGAGCCGUCAUGGGACUUGGGUCCCCACCGUGAGGACCCCGUGGGCGACAGCAGGUGUGGCCAGGGUGGGGCUCCGAGCCCCGGGUCACCGCCCGCCCAGCAUUCCAGGCACAUGAAGAGAAAGCAUUCCAAAGCCUCUGAUUGUUGUUUCCUUUUUCUCCUCCCGAAGGAACAGCUGAUUCAUGCUCCUCCCACAAUUGUCACGUCUGUGAUUUAUUUGGUGUUUCGGGCGUGGUCUCUGGAGCCCCGGCACGUGGUGGGCCACGCUGCUGGCGCUCAUGGGCCCUGGUGUUUGCACCGCACUUUGUAAUCAGUCCCGUGGUUGUCUGUACAGAAUUAAACUAUUUUCCGAUG
Molecule: small RNA, 3970 nt
Filed under: Pan troglodytes (chimpanzee)
Lineage: Eukaryota; Metazoa; Chordata; Mammalia; Primates; Hominidae
Description: retained intron
Source: RNAcentral